This 464-nucleotide ribosomal RNA is filed under the name uncultured bacterium. RNAcentral describes it as "bacterial SSU rRNA". It matches the Rfam family "Bacterial small subunit ribosomal RNA", at positions 338 to 795 of the family's 1533-position model. The record is from RNAcentral.
CCUANGGGUGGCAUCAGUCGAGAAUUUUUCUCAAUGGGGGCAACCCUGAAGGAGCGACGCCGCGUGGAGGAUGAAGGCUUUCGGGUUGUAAACUCCUGUCAUUUGAGAACAAGUGUGAGCAAGUAACUACUGCUCACUUGAUAGUAUCAGAAGAGGAAGGGACGGCUAACUCUGUGCCAGCAGCCGCGGUAAUACAGAGGUCCCGAGCGUUGUUCGGAUUCAUUGGGCGUAAAGGGUGCGUAGGUGGCGUGGUAAGUGGGGUGUGAAAUCCCGAGGCUUAACCUCGGGACUGCAUUCCAUACUGCCGUGCUUGAGGACUGGAGAGGAGACUGGAAUUUACGGUGUAGCAGUGAAAUGCGUAGAGAUCGUAAGGAAGACCAGUGGCGAAGGCGGGUCUCUGGACAGUUCCUGACACUGAGGCACGAAGGCCAGGGGAGCAAACGGGAUUAGAUACCCUANUANUC